This 1439-nucleotide ribosomal RNA is filed under the name uncultured bacterium. Its description in RNAcentral is "bacterial SSU rRNA". It matches the Rfam family "Bacterial small subunit ribosomal RNA". The record is from RNAcentral.
AGAGUUUGAUCAUGGCUCAGAACGUACGCUGGCGGCACGCCUAAUACAUGCAAGUCGAACGAAGUAGCAAUACUUAGUGGCAGACGGGUGAGUAACAUGUAGGUAUCUUCCCUUUGGUGAGGAAUAACACGAGGAAACUUGUGCUAAUACCUCAUAAGUCUUUACGGAGAAAGCUUUAUGCGCCAUUGGAUGAGCCUGCACUUGAUUAGUUUGUUGGUAGGGUAAUGGCCUACCAAGACAAUGAUCAAUAGCUGAUUUGAGAGGAUGAUCAGCCACAUUGGGACUGAGACACGGCCCAAACUCCUACGGGAGGCAGCAGUAGGGAAUCUUGCACAAUGGGGGAAACCCUGAUGCAGCGAUGCCGCGUGAGUGAAGAAGGCCCUUGGGUUGUAAAGCUCUUUCGUCGGGGAAGAAAAUGACUGUACCCGAAUAAGAAGGUCCGGCUAACUUCGUGCCAGCAGCCGCGGUAAUACGAAGGGACCUAGCGUAGUUCGGAAUUACUGGGCUUAAAGAGUUCGUAGGUGGUUAAAAAAGUUGGUGGUGAAAUCCCAGAGCUUAACUCUGGAACUGCCAUCAAAACUUUUUAGCUAGAGUAUGAUAGAGGAAAGCAGAAUUUCUAGUGUAGAGGUGAAAUUCGUAGAUAUUAGAAAGAAUACCAAUUGCGAAGGCAGCUUUCUGGAUCAUUACUGACACUGAGGAACGAAAGCAUGGGUAGCGAAGAGGAUUAGAUACCCUCGUAGUCCAUGCCGUAAACGAUGUGUGUUAGACGUUGGAAAUUUAUUUUCAGUGUCGCAGCGAAAGCAAUAAACACACCGCCUGGGGAGUACGACCGCAAGGUUAAAACUCAAAUGAAUUGACGGGGACCCGCACAAGUAGUGGAGCAUGUGGUUUAAUUCGAAGAUACGCGCAGAACCUUACCAACACUUGACAUGUUCGUCGCGACUUUAAGAGAUUAAAGUUUUCGGUUCGGCCGGACGAAACACAGGUGCUGCAUGGCUGUCGUCAGCUCGUGUCGUGAGAUGUUGGGUUAAGUCCCGCAACGAGCGCAACCCUCACUUUUAGUUGCCAUCAUUUAGUUGGGCACUCUGAAAGAACUGCCAGUGAUAAGCUGGAGGAAGGUGGGGAUGACGUCAAGUCCUCAUGGCCCUUACGUGUUGGGCUACACACGUGCUACAAUGGCAUUUACAAUAGGAAGCAAGACGGCGACGUUUAGCAAAUCCUAAAAAAAUGCCUCAGUUCGGAUUGUACUCUGCAACUCGAGUACAUGAAGCUGGAAUUACUAGUAAUCGCGGAUCAGCGCGCCGCGGUGAAUACGUUCCCGGGUCUUGUACACACCGCCCGUCACACCAUGGGAGUUGGUUCUACCUUAAGGCAAAGGUUAAAAACUUUGACCACGGUAUAGUCAGCGACUGGGGUGAAGUCGUAACAAGGUAACCGUA